RNAcentral lists this ribosomal RNA (378 nucleotides) under uncultured eukaryote. RNAcentral's name for it is "partial 18S ribosomal RNA". It matches the Rfam family "Eukaryotic small subunit ribosomal RNA", at positions 592 to 976 of the family's 1831-position model. The record is from RNAcentral.
CAAUAGCGUAUAUUUAAGUUGUUGCAGUUAAAAAGCUCGUAGUUGGAUUUCGGGUGUGAACGACCGGUCCGUCUUUGAUGUGUACUGGUUGGUUGCGCCUUAUUGUCGAGGACGUGGUUCUAGCUUUCAUUAGCCGGGACACGGAGUCGGCAGCGUUACUUUGAGAAAAUUAGAGUGUUCAAAGCAGGCUAUCGCUCUGAAUACUACAGCAUGGAAUAACACGAUAGGACUCCGAGCCUAUUCUGUUGGUCUUCGGGACCGGAGUAAUGAUUAAGAGGGACAGUUGGGGGCAUUCGUACUCCGAUGUCAGAGGUGAAAUUCUUGGAUUAUCGGAAGACGAGCAUCUGCGAAAGCAUUUGCCAAGGAUGUUUUCAUUAA